AUUGAACGCUGGCGGCAUGCCUUACACAUGCAAGUCGAACGGCAGCACGGGAGCAAUCCUGGUGGCGAGUGGCGAACGGGUGAGUAAUAUAUCGGAACGUGCCCAGUCGUGGGGGAUAACGCAGCGAAAGCUGUGCUAAUACCGCAUACGAUCUACGGAUGAAAGCGGGGGAUCGCAAGACCUCGCGCGAUUGGAGCGGCCGAUAUCAGAUUAGGUAGUUGGUGAGGUAAAGGCUCACCAAGCCGACGAUCUGUAGUUGGUCUGAGAGGACGACCAGCCACACUGGGACUGAGACACGGCCCAGACUCCUACGGGAGGCAGCAGUGGGGAAUUUUGGACAAUGGGCGCAAGCCUGAUCCAGCAAUGCCGCGUGCAGGAUGAAGGCCUUCGGGUUGUAAACUGCUUUUGUACGGAACGAAACGGCGAGCUCUAAUACAGUUUGCUAAUGACGGUACCGUAAGAAUAAGCACCGGCUAACUACGUGCCAGCCGCCGCGGUAA
RNAcentral lists this ribosomal RNA (500 nucleotides) under uncultured bacterium. RNAcentral describes it as "partial 16S ribosomal RNA". It matches the Rfam family "Bacterial small subunit ribosomal RNA", at positions 30 to 523 of the family's 1533-position model. The record is from RNAcentral.